AAUACCUACACAUGUACAACUUAACCACCCCGACAACCCUCUCUGAUGAUGACCCUGGCUGACAGAUUAUCCAAAUCUUAGAGAGCCUUCAGAUUCCAUAUCCUUUAAAAUGGUCAGCUUCAUGUCUACCCAGUAGCAUUUUGGCAAGUUCAAAAUUGCACCAGUCCCAAUUACAUGCCUACAGGCUAUCCUCACACAGCUGAGAACCACAUCCUGGCAACCCAUUCUUCACAACAAUUUGUGGCUCGAAAAAACCUGUCUUUAGGCAGUGCAUGAUCUAUGAAUAAACCAUGCACUUGAAAUUUUGCAGAUUUGCUCUCAGCCGAAAGAACAAGCAAACCAAAAAGCCACAUCUGCAUACUAUAAAGCUUCCAGGGUAAUUGAUGCUUU
This 390-nucleotide unclassified non-coding RNA is filed under the name Hevea brasiliensis (rubber tree). Lineage: Eukaryota; Viridiplantae; Streptophyta; Magnoliopsida; Malpighiales; Euphorbiaceae. The record is from RNAcentral.